RNAcentral lists this ribosomal RNA (492 nucleotides) under uncultured bacterium. Its description in RNAcentral is "partial 16S ribosomal RNA". It matches the Rfam family "Bacterial small subunit ribosomal RNA", at positions 29 to 507 of the family's 1533-position model. The record is from RNAcentral.
AGUGAACGCUGGCGGUAGGCCUAACACAUGCAAGUCGAACGGCAGCACAGUAAGAGCUUGCUCUUACGGGUGGCGAGUGGCGGACGGGGGAGGAAUACAUCGGAAUCUACUUUUUCGUGGGGGAUAACGUAGGGAAACUUACGCUAAUACCGCAUACGACCUACGGGUGAAAGCAGGGGAUCUUCGGACCUUGCGCGAUUGAAUGAGCCGAUGUCGGAUUAGCUAGUUGGCGGGGUAAGGGCCCACCAAGGCGACGAUCCGUAGCUGGUCUGAGAGGAUGAUCAGCCACACUGGAACUGAGACACGGUCCAGACUCCUACGGGAGGCAGCAGUGGGGAAUAUUGGACAAUGGGCGCAAGCCUGAUCCAGCCAUACCGCGUGGGUGAAGAAGGCCUUCGGGUUGUAAAGCCCUUUUGUUGGGAAAGAAAAGCAGCAGGUUAAUACCCCGCUGUUCUGACGGUACCCAAAGAAUAAGCACCGGCUAACUUCGUG